RNAcentral lists this ribosomal RNA (439 nucleotides) under uncultured bacterium. RNAcentral describes it as "partial 16S ribosomal RNA". It matches the Rfam family "Bacterial small subunit ribosomal RNA", at positions 355 to 786 of the family's 1533-position model. The record is from RNAcentral.
UGGGGAAUCUUCCGCAAUGGGCGAAAGCCUGACGGAGCAACGCCGCGUGAGUGAAGACGGCCUUCGGGUUGUAAAGCUCUGUUAUAUGGGACGAACGGGUGUAUGGUCAAUACCCAUACGCCGUGACGGUACCGUAAGAGAAAGCCACGGCUAACUACGUGCCAGCAGACGCGGUAAUACGUAGGUGGCAAGCGUUGUCCGGAAUCAUUGGGCGUAAAGGGCGCGCAGGCGGUUCGGUAAGUCGGUCUUAAAAGUGCGGGGCUUAACCCCGUGAUGGGAUUGAAACUGCCGGACUGGAGUGUCGGAGAGGAAAGCAGAAUUCCUAGUGUAGCGGUGAAAUGCGUAGAUAUUAGGAGGAAUACCAGUGGCGAAAGCGGCUUUCUGGACGACAACUGACGCUGAGGCGCGAAAGCCAGGGGAGCAAACGGGAUUAGAUACC